CUGACUUUACAACCGUAGAUAUAUCUGAGAUAAACAGGGAAUAUACACAACAUGAAUCAAUAUUACUGCUGUUACUUUUUCUCCUGGACAAAAUGGAGGAACACAAAUGCUGGAUUUAAUGUUGAACACUGACUGUUCUGUUCCUAAGAGGAAAUCUGAUACACAGAAGAAAUACUAAUGACAAAUAUCUAGAUUUGAGAUACAAUUUAUAUUUUUUUAUGAAUUGUAUAAACAGCCCAUAUGAAAUGUUUAUUUUACCUCGAAAGAUGUUAAAUGGUAUUUGUGUUUAGUGUGAUUCUGUAUGAGGGAUUUUCACUGUUACAGCUGAAGCAUCACAGCACAGAAAGGUUUUUGUACCAGCAGUAAUAGGGAUUGUAUCACUGUGGUGGACUUUUGGUAGCGGCACCAGACUAGAUGUUGGAAGUAACAGUUCCCCCACCCUCACCGUCCUGCCCCCCUCUAGUGAGGAGCUGUCCAGUACAACAACAGCCACACUGAUGUGUCUGGCCAACAAGGGCUUCCCCUCAGACUGGACCAUAAGAUGGAAAGUGGACGGCAACAGCAAGAAUCAGGAGGCCAGUUCUAGGGUCCUGGAGAAGGAUGGCCGGUACAGCUGGAGCAGCACCCUGACUCUCACUGGCCAGGAGUGGACCAAGGCAGGAGAGGUGACCUGUGAAGCCCAGCAGAUAUCCCAGACUCCGGUCACCAAGACCCUGAAGAGGGCUGACUGUUCUGGGUAGAACCCCUCAGUCACACACCCAUGUGGAGAGAGGACGCUGGUUCCUCGGCUUUGACUUGCUUUGUUCUAAGAUCAGUUGUUCUCUGAUUUGGUGAUCACUCUCGUGUAGACUAACAGGGAGCUUGGCUUGAGUUUAUGUGUCAAUCCAUUCUGUAGAAUGAGAUUUUGUUCGUUUUAGAUUUGAUGUGAUCUGCUUUUAUUCACUAUCAUGUUCGCUUUGAUUCUUCGAUUAUGUAAUAAUGGAUUAAAAUAAAGUUUUCUUUUUGGAAUGCA
Molecule: non-coding RNA, 1012 nt
Organism: Oncorhynchus nerka (sockeye salmon)
Lineage: Eukaryota; Metazoa; Chordata; Actinopteri; Salmoniformes; Salmonidae
Source: the annotation of a RefSeq genome assembly